Non-coding RNA from Vicugna pacos (alpaca), 743 nucleotides. Lineage: Eukaryota; Metazoa; Chordata; Mammalia; Artiodactyla; Camelidae. The record is from RefSeq and is a predicted model, not a curated record.
UGGCUGCUUGCUCCUCACUCCCUUUUGUUGCAAAUAAACUUUGUGGCUGAGGAAAGGGGGUGGGGGCGGGGCCUCGCGCCCAAAAGAGGGGGUGGGCUCCCGGCGCACGCAAGGCUGGGAAUCCGGAGUUGGGGUGGGGGAGGGAAUCGGGGAGGAGCCAAAGGAGAAACAAGAUUGCUUGAAUACUGGCAGACAGAAUCGGCCCUCCAGAUAAGCCCCUCGGGAGCUCAGCGGGCUGAACUGUCCCCCGACCCACGCACUCGGUCCGACACAACGCACACUCUGGAUGUGGUCAGCUCCGCGGGAGUCCAAUCAGGGCAGCGCACUCACUGAUUUCGGGCGGAGACACCUCCUGCCCAAGGGACCCGAACAUGGCAACUUCGGACCCACUAACUCGUACACACCACGGAUACUCAGAUUUCCUCCCCCUGUUUCCCUUCAAGACAAAAGGCUUCUAAGCAUUUAGGGAUUUGGGACUCAUAUCUUUGAAGCAGUGACGGGAGACGGGACCUUGGCUUCAACUACUAUUCCUGUGAUUACUCCUCUGCCAUUCUCCACUCUCCAACGCCUUUUUUUUUUUAAUGAAGAAACAAGUCAUUUAUCCUGUGAAAGUUCUCAAAUUCUGAAUCUGGCUAAUUGUAUCCCUAUGUUGUCAUUUAACAUAGUCCUUUAUACCCUGUAUUUCCUGAAAACUGAUAGUUAAAUCAAUUUGAUUAGAUUCAGGUUCAAUUUUCUGGAAAGAA